Long non-coding RNA from Passer domesticus (house sparrow), 7824 nucleotides. RefSeq lists it as uncharacterized. The transcript has 5 exons. The record is from RefSeq and is a predicted model, not a curated record. Lineage: Eukaryota; Metazoa; Chordata; Aves; Passeriformes; Passeridae.
CGCGGGAGCGGCGCUGGAGAGAAUCGCUGCGGAGCACAGGCGGGAGCAUCACCGGGGCCCGGGGCCGAGCCGCCGGGACGGGCACAGCCGCGCUGCCCUCGGAGGGCACCCCGGGCCGGGCCGGGGUCCCUUUCGGCGGGCGCACCGUGAGGGGCCGCCCCGCGCCCCCCCGGCGCCGCAGCUGCGCCCGUCCGUCAGCGCCGCCCCCCGGGCGGGGCCGCCCCGCGCUGCCCCUUUAAGGCAGCGCAGCCCCGCGCGCAUUCCAGCGGCCGCGUCACCGUUCCGGGAAGCGGGUGGCGUCACCCCGCCAUCCGCGCUGCCUCCCGCCCUCCGCGCCGCCGUGCGUCCCGCGGCGGGGCGGGCCCGGGAACAAAGGCGGGAUAAAAAUAGAAGGUAGAAAAGAAGAGUAAAGAUGUGAGCAAGACAUUUAGGAUAUGUGCAGUCUGCCAUGGGGUGUUUUGGGGUCACGGACUAGCUGAGAAGGCAGCGGAGUUUGUCUCCAGUUGCGUUUAGAAGUGCACGGAGAUGCUGCAGCCGCUGGAUGUCUCUCUUGCUCCGCUUUCCCGGACAAGGACCAGCCUUGCAGAGGGACGGGACAGAUGGGUCAGUGUGGGAGGCCAGCUGCUCGCUGCUGCCCAGCUGACUGCCAUGAUGUGACACGACUCUCAACACAAGAGAUGACAGGGUAAGAACUUGCUAUUCACAGAGCUCCUCCUUUGGCUCCUGUGGUGUAAAGCUACCUGUACCUCCAGCUACAUGGAAAAAAUUGCAAAAUAAUUAAAAUACAAGAACCCUGGAUUUAUUUGAAGUAACACCAACAGAGAUCUGGAAUGAUUCCAUUAAAAGCACUGCAGUCAUGCUGUUUCUAAAAGGAUAUCUAAAGGUAUUCCAGUGAUUAUUAUUAUGUGACUACCAGCAGUGUGCACAAUGAAAAAUACAAGUAGCCAGCAGAUUCCCAGCUGUGAAGAAAACACAUCCAGCAAGAUGAUUUUUUCAGCUAGUACCAGGAAAAACCCUGAUUUAUUUCUGUUUUUCUUAAAUCAAACAGCCUAGUGCAGGGUUUUUUAAAUGGUAACAUAAACCAGAUACAUUUCAAAGACUUAGACUAGCUUAUAUUCAUGUUCUCACAGUACCAUGAGGAAUUUACACACACUGCCUCUGACAAGCCUUGCAAUAAAAUGAGUUACAGUAUUGUAAAAUAAUGGUUUGUAACUAUUUUCCUUUGUAUUAAAGCUUCCCAUAAAUACAUAUUACUUGGAUCAACAUGGGGUAAACCUCACUCACUCCAGCUGAAAGAUGGAGAUCUUGGGGUCCCACCACCCAAACGUCCAGCCAACAUUACCUUUCUCAAGAGGCUGGAAGUUACAGCAGGGAUAAAAGUCAUAAGGAAUUCAAGGAAAACAGCAGCUUAUUUAACAGCUAGGGAGCCAUUAAGGAUGGCAAAGCUGUAGUGAAGCUGAGAUCUGUACCCUCAUUUCUGUGUCCCAGGUCACCUCUUCACCAGCUAAAUCCUUCUUUCACUUCCAGCCUUCUUUCUUAAACUGAGCAUCAUUUAAAGACAAAAUGGGAAAAAUUGAUAAGUUAUGGACUGAACAGGAGCAGUGUGAUUUUCCAUGAAUCCAGGCACCUGCAAGGUAUCAAAGCCAAAGGCAUCAUGUUUUUGAAAAAUGAGACUGAGGUUGUCAAGCAAGGCACCAGCAGUAUGAGCUGUUUAAUCCAUGCUGAUUUCCCCAGAACUGUGUCCAAGAGGAUGUCACACUUUUCUGUUCUCAAGUUCAGCCUUAUCUCUGAGAGCAUCAGCAAGUUUCACCUCUUCUGAAAGAGCACUCUCCUGUGAUUUAUUUAUAGUCUCCUGCUGCUUCUUGUAAGUAGAGUUUCACUCCCCUUCCUUUGCUCUGCCUCACAUCACUAUAUUGCACUGGUACGCUGCUGCUUCACAUAUGAACCUUUCAGCAGCCUGUUUUCUUCCAGCUGCUAAGCUAAGGGAGACCACUCAGAGGAAUGGGAAGGAAUUUAGGGACAACAAUAAUAUUUAAUGUGUAGAAUCACAGAGUUUCAGCACACACCAAACAUCCCUGCUAAGCUCGUGUUCCUAAAAUCCUUUAAAGUUCACUAAAAUUGAUAGAUUGGUCUUACACACAUUAAUACUGAGUUUUUCAGCUAUCCCUACAAGCUCAUUUCUGCCUAUCAUUUUUGUUGUGUCAGGGUGUUAUUUGUGACCCAGUCAGUUUAAGAAAUACACGGAAUACAACAUGUUUUAAAAGACUGUAAGACUGCUGCCACCUUUGUCUACAUUGCUGGGUCUGUCUGUUGUGUACCUCAGGUGCACAUGUAUGUUUGUCUUUGUGUAACGUGAAAAUACUUCAGAAAUGCCUUGAAAGUCCUACUGCCCUAUUCUUAAAAAGUCUUGCAUCUAUUUUAAAAUACAGAACAUGGUGAAACAAUAAAUAAGAGAAAAUCCUUGAAAUGCCUGAGACAUUUCCAAGAUGUUACCUAAGAAUAUAAUCUCAAUUUAAACAUGUAAUUCCCUUGAUUACCACUUUUGUACUUAGGUGUGCUGCACAGUUCAGAAUGAACACUUUGCUUUUUUGUGGAACAAUAUUUAUUCUUAUUAGUAAAGUUUUUAGGAGUUUUGCUCAAACUUAAAAAUUAAUAAAUUGAUAAAUGUAAUUAAUAAUUUUGAGUUUACCUGGAAUUUUAUCUGCAGUGUAAAAUAAAGGCUAUGGAUCCACAGCCCCCAGUGAGGCAAAUAACCUUCCUGGGAUACUCUUGAUCUGGCAUGGCUAUUUUGAACUAGUUAUCAGUUUAAUCUAUAAAGUUACCCUCUAGGCAGUGAAUUGCUUGGUAACUAGUUCUGUGUAUCCAACACAAAUGAUUUUAGAAUCCCUGCACAGCAGCACAGAACAAGGCAGCACGAGGAAGUUUUCAGACACCAUCUAAUUCUGCCUGCCCAAACUGGCUGAAACAAGUGUUACCUUUAAGGAUUUUUUUUUUUUUCCAUUCGAAGCUCUUGUUGUCUACAAAAGAAGGGUGAAAGCUCUAAGUUUCAGCUCUGCCUUCAGAUAUUCCUAAUAGCUUAGGCCUGGCUUGAUUCAGUUCAUGUGUUUGACACUUUGUACACCACUAUCUGAGUUGUUGUAAUCUUUAAAGCCCCAGGAGAAGUGGAUUAAUUUUUUUACAAUGCAAGGGUUUAGAUUCAAGUCUUUUUCAAGGCUUUAUCUGCUGCCUUUGCACAGUAUGGGAAAACUUUCAGCAAAAUCUGGAAGGUAAAAUAUAGACCCUGGGAUAGUGAUUUCUUUUCCAUUUUCAGAAAGGUUUCUUUAAGUAGAGGGAAAAUUAGGUCAUAUUUUGAUUUCUCUUGGCUGGCUUGUCUCCAAGAUGGCCUGCACCCAGUUUCUUCUGAACUUUUCACUUCUCAGAAGGAUAGUAUCUCAUGUCAGAAUGAUAAAGACUCUUGUCAAGAAGUACUGUGGAACAUGGUAAGCUGAACAUUCAUCAACAGUACAAAAUUUUGAUGGCAACAGCUACAAAUAACUUACAGGAAAUAUUCAAAGAAAUUGUUUAUUCAAGAGUACUUCCUGUGGCUCUGCAGUUCAUCCAGGUGCACAAGCUCUAUUUUUCACAGAACAUUCAUCUCUGUUUCUUUUAGUUUGGAUUUCUCAUCAACAGAUUACCCAAGCCAAGAUUUAAGUGUAAGUUUUGUAAACAAGUAAAUCAGGACUCAUACUUUUUACUGAACAGAAAGAAAAAUGCUAAACCAGAAGGUGUUACGUAAAGCCCAAGAGAUGGAUAAGGGUGCAAGUUUACAUUGUUUUCAUUGGCCAUAUUUGACAGAAGCAAAAAUAGGAAGCACUGCUAUCAGACUUGUUCUGCCAGAUCUACCAGUAUAAAUUGUCCCAGUAGAACACUAAGAUAAAUUCUCAUUUCCUACCUAUUUUCUUUUCUGCGUUAGGGUUAUUUCGGACAUGCCAAGGUCAAAAUCAUGCCUGUUAGAGUACUUCUAGCAGUGAUGCCCACCUAUCAUACACCCAGGUCUUUGACACCCUGUCUGACUACAGAGGGGGAAAAAAUCACCUUUUGAUAUAGCACUGAGUUUUCUACCAAAGCAGACAACUAUACUGUACAUUAUAAUUGUCUGAACUGGCACUCACAUACAGGGCUCUGAGUGAAGUGCUACAAAUCUAAAAGUGAUUUUAGAUUAGUGAUUUUUUUAUUUGUUUAGUGAUUUUUUGUUUGUUUCAAAGCAUUCACAGACAAGUACUAGUUUGUUUGAAAACUGCCAUUCUGUAUACCAUGUAAAUAGCUUUCAGGUUAUAGAUUCAUGUGCACUUAUAUGAAUAUUACUUAUGGGACACAGAUUUGUCAUAUAAAUUGCACGGUUUGUAUAUUUUUUCCUGUAUGGAGAGGAAAACAUUAGGAAUAAAUGGAUGAUGGGUAACAGAGUGUGUGAUUAUCAUUGCUUACAUCAGGUCUGGGAUUUCAAGUUACCCAGUGUUCAUCUGAAAAUAUGCAAACACUAAUCAGAGCUGCUCAGCACAUCUUCCUGAUGUGCAGCUGAAUCCUUCUGAAUGGCAGCUUUUUCACUCACUGUAGUAGGCUUUUUUUCACUGUAGAUUUUUUUUUUCACUUUUUUUUUUUUCCUUUCAGUUCAACCAGAUUUGCUGAAAAAUUAGCAUUGGGCUUCCUAAGUGGAUCUUUCCACAUCUCUUCCAUUUUCUCUUGAGCAAAUGCAAAUUACAUUGAGCCCAUUUCAGAUAAAUGUAUUCAUCUAUAAGGGACAGAAUACAUAUGUGAAAGUCAUCUAAACCAUUUUGUCUUGUUCUACAGGUUCUUGGGAUUCUUACAAGGGAAGACUACAGCAAUUUAAUACCUUUCCAAACUAUAAUUUGUUGAAUGUAUUGCCUGAUAGUAGUUUUCAAACAACAGUAAAAGGAGGUGAUUUACAAACUGUUUUGAGGCUUCUUCCAUUCCAAAGCACCAUCCUUAAACAGAUAAGCAUCCUCUUUUAAUUUUUACUGAAACGUGGAAGUCUGGCAGGUCUGACAAGUGCAAUCUGAACUGUGAUCCCACUGUGACUCCUACACUGAUGUCAUGAAUUCACAGCCAGUGGUACCAGCAGACCACAAGGUCAGUAGUCUAAGCUGCAGUUUUCAAAGGAUCACAAGACCUUUUCUGCAGAAGAAAACUAAUACAAAACCUGAUUUAAGUCAAUGAAAGACUCAUAGUUUGGCAAAGGGCUAAAAAAAAACACCCAAAACUGGUGUCCAUAUAUAUUAUGGAUAAGAAAAGGACUUUAUCCUAAGGUCUUAUCCUAAAUUUUUGGAAAAAUCUCAGCUGCUCUGUCUGCAGAAUUCAGAGCCCCUCUUUCCAGCAGGCAGUCUUGGUUGGAUUAGGAUGCAAUAACUAUUAACAUGUUCUUAGGAGGAUUUCUCUUCACUGCACUCUCUACAACUACAAAAAAUAAGGAGGAUACUUUGAUUUGCAUUUCAUAAACCCUUUACUGAGUUUUUGUGGCUUACACUUGCAGUCCUAACGCUUCAGUUGUUAGAAGUCCUUCUUGAAGCAGGGAUGAUAGAAUUUAUCCUGUCACAAAUGUGUGAGGGUCAAAGUGAGGGACUAUUGAAAAGAGUGACACGCCUGGGAAACACCAACUCAGAUUAUGCAUCAUCUAGGUAAGUGAGCCCAUCCAAUAAUUCUUGACAUUCUGAAGAAUAAACUAUAAUUAAAUACUAAAGAAAGGCAAUCCUUGGUGCAGCAAUUCAGUAAAACCUUAGACUUCAAUUAGCAAGAUGGAUGUUGGAAGCACACAGCAAAAAUAAUGACAUUUGCAAUGCUAUCUGGAAGCAGCAAGCAAAUUGAAAAGAAAUUCUAGACUCUCCAAAGGAGGUGUGGAGUAGGAGGGCUACAACAGGGCUCUGCACAACUUGCUUGUUGUGAGUGCAAUUUAUAGAUCAUGAGGGCACCUGUUUUACUGGAAUAAUACAGAGGUCAGGGAAAUGCAGCUGCCUGAACAAAGCAGCCAUAGCUGACUGUUUGCUUUUAAGCAAAAUCAAUUUCAGGCCAUUGGCAAGUAAAACAACCUUAGACAUAAAAUAGUGUUGUCGAAUUAACACUAAAAGAAAUGCUGUGGUGCUCUGAAUGCAUUUUUUAAAAGCAGUCAGUGAAAACGUGUUAAGGAUGUGUCCACUUAAAGCCUAUUGUUGUAACACUUCUAUUGAGUGUGAAAUAGCCUAAGAAGUGACUAAAUGUGAAACCUUCCAUUUCCAAGUGGAAAUAAACCCAAAAAGUUCUAAUAAAUAAAUAAAUAAGUUUUAAUAAUAAGUAAAUAAAACCAAUAAAACCUAAAAUGUACUCAGUUGUGAUAACCUUGUCUUUAAUAACAGAAAGGAAGGACUAAAGCAUCUCCCUCACAGACAAGGGUGAGAGCAGGUUGAAUUUGUGAGGAUCUUACAAUACAAGAGGGGGUUUUAUAUCACCAUUUCCUGUUGCAACAGGAGCACUUCCUCAUUGAAAAGAACCUGAAAUUUAGUACCAGCAGAACCUGAGUUACCUGCUUUGACAGCAGCAAAGGUGAUUUCAUAGAGAGAACAGGAAAAGUAGGGAGAGAACAGGAACACUGAGCCACUCAGUGGUGAUUAGUGAAACUGAGCUACAAGGGUUUUUUUUGAAAUGCAGCUGGAUAUCAUGAUGCCAGAUGAAGCAAGGACUUCCACAGUAAUCACAGCAGCACAACUACUGAAGCUGCCCCAUCAGGAAGCAUGCAAGGUAAGGAGGAGAAGUGCAAAAAAUCUAGCAGGCACUGAAAAAUUAUUUGUGAAAUGUUGGCAAACAACCAGCCACCAUAACCACCAACCCAUGUGCAUUCCCACAAAGGCAACAGGUACCAUCAAGGAGCAAAUUCCCAGCUGCUGUUGGUCUCUAAUCAAAAGGGCAGCAGUAAUAAUAAUAAUAAAUAGUGACACAAAAUAAUAAUGAAUAAUCUGAAGCAAUAGUAAUUUCUUAGAUGCUGAUUUAUUUUUUCUACUCAGAGCACCAUCCAACAGUGGGAGGGCCCAUGGAGUCCCUCCUGCAAAUGAAGUGGUCUAAUGGUGAGAAACAAAACAAAACAAAUCUACAAAUAAAAUCUGUAACAUUGUGAAUGAAUGGGCAAAUACAUAGAAACAGCUUUUCUAGUUAUUCAACUGACAGGCAGCUGUCCCUUGCAAACUAGAAGAUGGAGAAUCAUCUAAUAAAAACUUCCCUUCAUAGAAAGUUACCAAAAUGCUUAAGAAAUAGAAGAACAAUACAGAAUCAUAUUUUUGUUAUAUCUGUAUUAUUAAUACAGAUUUGGGAGCAGCUGUUUAGUUUUCCCCAUAUCAAUCAAAAUGGUGACAGUGACAGAUAAAUCCACAUAUGGGACAAUUUACAUUCUACUUAAGUGAGUGAAAGUCAGGGGUUAGCAGCAAUUUAUACAGGUCAGGCUUUUACAGUCCUCCGUGGUUGCUGGAAGGCUGCCAGGGAAAUGCCAUCAAGGGGGUUUGCUUUCACACUGCAGGAUCUGCAGUUUUGUAUCAGGUUAAGAGGAAGAGGAGCAUGGCACUGCACACUUCAUUAAAACAGCAGUGAUGAAGCCAGGAUAAAAACAAAGGAAAACUAACAGACAUAAAAAAUGCGAGCUGAAAUUGUUAAUAUAAAAAUACUAACAACGUUCACAGAACACUAAGCUGCUAUAAUAAACCUGUGCUGUAAGAGUAAGUGGCAAACAGUGGGCUAUAAUUUCCUCUUUUUGUCAGAGAAAGAUAGAAGGAAAUCAUCAUAAUCUAAUAUAGAUGACAUCUUUGAUAA